GACGAACGCUGGCGGCGUGCUUAACACAUGCAAGUCGAACGGAAAGGCCCUGCUUUUGUGGGGUGCUCGAGUGGCGAACGGGUGAGUAACACGUGAGUAACCUGCCCUUGACUUUGGGAUAACUUCAGGAAACUGGGGCUAAUACCGGAUAGGAGCUCCUGCUGCAUGGUGGGGGUUGGAAAGUUUCGGCGGUUGGGGAUGGACUCGCGGCUUAUCAGCUUGUUGGUGGGGUAGUGGCUUACCAAGGCUUUGACGGGUAGCCGGCCUGAGAGGGUGACCGGCCACAUUGGGACUGAGAUACGGCCCAGACUCCUACGGGUGGCAGCAGUGGGGCAUAUUGCACAGUGGGCGGAAGCCUGAUGCAGCAACGCCGCGUGCGGGAUGACGGCCAUCGGGUUGUAAACCGCUUUCGCCUGUGACGAAGCGUGAGUGACGGUAAUGGGUAAAGAAGCACCGGCUAACUACGUG
This 468-nucleotide ribosomal RNA is filed under the name uncultured bacterium. Its description in RNAcentral is "partial 16S ribosomal RNA". It matches the Rfam family "Bacterial small subunit ribosomal RNA", at positions 28 to 507 of the family's 1533-position model. The record is from RNAcentral.